CCUUGCUUUAUUAGAAAAAAAAAAAUAAUUUUCUUUUCUAGUGAAGAAGCUAGAAUUUAGAUGUGGGACAAGAAGACCCUUUUGAGCUUUAUUAUUUAUUUUUUUGAAAAAUUUUAAUAAUUUGGUUGGGGCGACCAAGGAAGGUUGGAUCUUCCUUAUAUAACUAUGAUCUGUUGUUUUCGAUUGAAGGAAUAAGCUACCUAAGGGAUAACAGCGUAAUUUUUUUUGUGAGCUCUUAUUUAAAAAAAAGAUUGCGACCUCGAUGUUGACUUAUAAUUUCCUUUUGGUGUAGCAGCUAAUAUGGUAGGUCUGUUCG
This 316-nucleotide ribosomal RNA is filed under the name Zygonemertes sp. 1 TCH-2015. RNAcentral's name for it is "partial 16S ribosomal RNA". The stretch from base 36 to 316 matches the Rfam family "Bacterial large subunit ribosomal RNA", at positions 2048 to 2583 of the family's 2925-position model. The record is from RNAcentral. Lineage: Eukaryota; Metazoa; Nemertea; Enopla; Monostilifera; Amphiporidae.